GCUCUCCCGGGAGAGCCGUCGCAGCUCCUUUUCUAUCCUGGGCAGGUGGGAAUUGGGAACCCAAAGGUCAGAGCUUUUGCCUCCCUGUUGAGUUUGGGACACUCUCACAUGUCACUGGGCCUAGGGAUUCCACAGGAGUGUCCAGUUCAGCUGUCUGGAACUCGGUGAGCAACAAAUGGAUGGGGGUAGCCUGCAGACCCCAGAGACUGUACAUUGACUAGAUGAGACACAGAAAAAGAAUGAACACGCCUGAGAGGCACUGAAGGUCAGCUGGAGGCUCAAGCCCCUUGAACCCUGCAAAUACAUUAAGCAGUGUAGUAACACCAAUAUCAGCAGAACAGAGAAGGUGGGUCUGACUUUUGGAUCUGCUGUCAAGCUGUAAAAUAAGAGCAACCACUUGUUCGGUUUUACUGGGUUCUUCCCACUGUUUUCACUUCCCACUGUGCUCUGUUUGCCUGGUUUCAGUCCCUGCUCACUGCACAAAUGGAGGCAGCCAAAGCACUGGGAUCUCCCCUGCCCUUGUCUUUCAGGCCCAGGACUUUGCCUCUGGGCUGCUGAAGGUCUGCACUGGGACAGCUGGCAAAGCCAGUGUUCCAGUUUUGUGCAGGACAGCCAGACUGUUCAUGGAGAGCUCUUAAAACUCUGCAAUUUGCAAUCCAGAGUUUUAAGAUAAACUAAAAUUAGGUUGAACAUUUGUGCAGUCAGUGACACACAAGAGCUGUGGGUGCUGAUCUUAUCAGCUGUUCCAGUACUGACCAACCCCUCAGGAGAAAUUCCCACCUACAGAAAGUGAUCCAUAUUUGCUGAUUUGAACAGAACAAACUCUUGUGUUAUGAAGCAUGACAUCAUAAUGAAAAAUUAUGCUCUUAUUUAAUAAAUGGUUGAAUAUUUUGUUUUGGAUAAAUUAAAAAAAAAUAUAAUAACAAGCUCAUAACUAGCAUUUAUUUACCCUUUCAAGACUACUUUUAACACUAC
Long non-coding RNA from Chiroxiphia lanceolata (lance-tailed manakin), 975 nucleotides. RefSeq lists it as uncharacterized. The record is from RefSeq and is a predicted model, not a curated record. The transcript is spliced from 3 exons. NCBI's taxonomy places the organism in Eukaryota, Metazoa, Chordata, Aves, Passeriformes, Pipridae.